AGAAACUUAGGUUACUCUAAACCAAAGACCUUCAAAGUCUUAAACAAAACGAAUGUUUUAGUUUCUG
This 67-nucleotide transfer RNA is filed under the name Goniurosaurus splendens. RNAcentral's name for it is "tRNA-Trp". The record is from RNAcentral. Lineage: Eukaryota; Metazoa; Chordata; Lepidosauria; Squamata; Eublepharidae.